This 270-nucleotide long non-coding RNA is filed under the name Elaeis guineensis (African oil palm). RNAcentral's name for it is "long non-coding RNA (EGUI_LNC082696)". The record is from RNAcentral. Lineage: Eukaryota; Viridiplantae; Streptophyta; Magnoliopsida; Arecales; Arecaceae.
CCUUAAGCUGACUUGGUGAAGCUAGUGGGAAAAUCAUGAUAAGCUGGUUCAUCUGACCUCAUCCUCUAAAUCAAUUAAAUCUUCUAAAAUUAUUAGGUCCUUAAAAUGAAAUAGUUAUGGUGAUAACUAAAUCAUAGCCUCCCAUUAUAUGGAUGAUAAUAGAUCCAUCAGUAGGAUAAUCAUUGGAGGCCCAAAGGUCUGGUGCUUAUCGACUGAUAGAAUUAUCAUUCAUAAUAUGAUUUUAUGACUGCAUCUUUCUAAAUGGUGGUU